UCCUGGAACUCAUUUGUUUCUGACUCUUCGAAGACCUCCCAAGUGUAAGGUCUUUUCCUUGUAAGACUACUCCAAACAAAUGCAGUGACCUGAAGACUCCCAGAAUAGGCACCACAAAUUCUCUAAGAGGAAGGCUUAUUUCUCUCAUGCCCAGCCUUCCCUCUGCCCACCUGUCAACAUGUAAACCUCGUGGUGUUUAGCCAAAUUCCGUGCUUUAUAUGUUAGUGUCCUUUAUCACAUGCUAUAUUUCAAGGCAAAUGAGCUAAAACAUGAUAAUAACUAGCAAAAGAUGCCACUCCUUUCAAGAAGGGUACCGUUUAGGCAGAGAAUUAUAGGGGGAUAAAAUGGAACAAAAACCAAUAAGGCAAAUCUUAAGAAUAUGGCCAGAAGACCAUCCUCUUAGAGUUAUUCUGAAAAAUGGAGCUAAACACCAUGUUGUCUGACUCAGAGAAGGAUUAGAUUUCAAGGGGAAAUGGAUUUGGGUCCAUUUCCUUGAGAAGAGUUGCUAUGAGACUGAGAGCCAGCAUUCUCUUCACUGAGUGUUUGAGGGAUAAAUGCACAGAGCAAUUUAGCAGCAUUUCAGAAAUGUAAAGUUCUCAGAAGCCACAUUCCAAGUGAAGCAGAUCUUGCUGAAGAAGUUGGGAUGUGUGAGUCUAAAAAGAACGCUUUGAGCCCUCUGCUUCUCUUAGCUUAAAUCCAUAUAUGGCUUUGUUGCUGUUGCUGUUUUCAUUUUAAACAUAACCAAACAACACUGGUGCCCAGGAAAUGGACUUCCAAAGAGAGGAGGGAAAAGCCCAAAAAAUUCUUUCAGCAUAAAGAAGACCAGUCUUGUUUAAAUCAAAGAAAGGGCGCUGCCAUCCCUUCAACAGCCAAGACCACAGAUCUUGAAAUCUUCUUCAUCUCAGUGCUCCAUGCUAUACCCACACUGGAGUAACGAGGGUUUGCUCAGGCUCUGCUCUCUUCAGAGGCUGAGGUGGAUUCAGCCGUGGCCUCAACUGCUUAUCCUGACCAAACCCAGAGGAUGUAGGAAAAGCCCUUCUCCACUCAGGAGUAUGGAUAUCAUGCAGACCCCUGGAGACACGGUGGUACUCAAUAAGUAUCUAUGAGUUGACUUACACUGAAUCCGAACUAACACAGACUUGAAG
Molecule: long non-coding RNA, 1145 nt
Organism: Herpailurus yagouaroundi (jaguarundi)
Lineage: Eukaryota; Metazoa; Chordata; Mammalia; Carnivora; Felidae
Exons: 3
Source: RefSeq, a predicted model, not a curated record